UCAUUGGAUUAUUAGUUUUAAAAGUACAUUAAAUACAUUAGAGGCUUAUGAGGCAUCCGAAUAUGUAACAUGAUCAUUCAUUCUAUUAUGCAUCAAGAACCAAAACAAUCACCUCAACCUUAGAGAUAGAGGAGCCAUUUGUCUUCUCAAGUGAGAUGGCUAAGAAGUAAGAACUUCAUUCCUUCACCCAGUUUACAUUUGCAUAAAAACUAGAGGAGGUGGACUAUAUAGAUACUUUUCCGUUGUUUCACCUAGUUUAGAUGAUGUGCAGAAAAAUUAAAGGUGGUGGGCUUUUAUAUAUCCUUUUCCUUCGUUUUAUUUAGGGUUAAGAGUCAAAUCAACAACUAUUUUUUAUCCUAAAUUAAAUUGGCUCAGCUAUAUGGAUCUUUCUUGGCAAUUAGCACUGUUAGUCAAUAUCCAAAACUUGUAAAUCCAUUUGAUACCACUUACCUCUAUGUCAUCUAAGGUUUCCGCUUUUCCCUCCUUACUCCUUCCCUUACUAACUCAUCCCACUUCCAACUAAGGCAUUUGUUGCUCUAUCAGAGAUGACAAACCAUCUCACAUUCUUACUCCUUUUUAGAGUUACAUUAGUGGAGAAACAAACACACACAGUGUGUGUGUGUGUGUAUAUAUAUAUAUAUAUAUAUCAAGGAGAGGUCUAAUUUUCUUUUGAAUUUCUUCUCGUUGGCUAACCAAGAACAACAAUUUUGCCUAGUCGUGGUGCCUGGUUAGCAAGCAAGAACAAAUUCAAAAGACAAUUAGACUUCCUCUCGACCACUCUAAUAUCCUAAUACCAGGUAACUUAAUAUAAGGGGAUGAAUAAGUUCAACUUCCUAAGUGAAAAUGGAAGAAAGUAGGUUUAGAAAUUAGAAAGUCAAACUUCUCGAUAAUUAGGCCAAAUUAUUGUGCUUGGUUAGCCAACAAGAACAAAUUCAAAAGAAAAUUACACCUCCCCUUGACCACUCAAUAUCCUGAAUACCAAGUAACUUAAUACAAGGGGAUGAAUAAGUUCAAAUUCCUAAGUGAAAAUGGAAUAAAAUUACUUGAAACUGAAAU
RNAcentral lists this long non-coding RNA (1056 nucleotides) under Manihot esculenta (cassava). RNAcentral describes it as "long non-coding RNA (MESC_LNC002460)". The record is from RNAcentral. Lineage: Eukaryota; Viridiplantae; Streptophyta; Magnoliopsida; Malpighiales; Euphorbiaceae.